Long non-coding RNA from Brienomyrus brachyistius, 2299 nucleotides. RefSeq lists it as uncharacterized. The transcript is spliced from 3 exons. Lineage: Eukaryota; Metazoa; Chordata; Actinopteri; Osteoglossiformes; Mormyridae. The record is from RefSeq and is a predicted model, not a curated record.
AUUCAGGUCCUUGUGCUAAUUACCAAAUAGCUCUUGAGCUGAUUAAUUUGUUGUGGAACUGGGAAGGAGCUAAGCUACACAGGGCUCCGACCCCCCUGGACUCCGGCCCCCCAGGGCUCCGACCCCCCUGUACUGGAGUUUGACACCCCUGCAGAGUGAAUGCUGGACUUUAAAGUUAAUGUUCAGACAACAGCUGAUUUAACUUGCAGCGCUGCCCUCCGAACCUGGCCUGCCCUCAGACACGCAACCCUGGAGGUGCGAAGCAGCAGCGCUGCCCUCCGAACCUGGCCUGCCCUCAGACACGCAACCCUGGAGGUGCGAAGCAGCAGCGCUGCCCUCCAGGCCACCCAUGCUGGUUACAAAUGAGAGUAAAUGUGGCAUCCUGGGAGGUCAAUGAUCAGUAAUUCCAGUAAAAGACUAAUUAAUGCAUACCAGGAAGAAGGGGAAAGCUGUCAUUAUGGGCCCUGAAGGAUCACAGCUGCACUCAAACCCAGAAUAAUGUUCUGCAGUGACCUUGUGCUUUCUUAUCUUGUCCAGUUCCUAAUCUCUGUUGACUGAAACCAAGCCAGACGAUCGAAGGUUCCUGCCAGCUGUGCAAUGUGACUGUGUGUGGGACUGUGAGGAACCGCAGAUUCAAAGAUCCCUCUGCUUUUCAACUGCAGUAUGUAUGAGCAUGUGGACGAGUCAGAGCAGGGGUGAGGAUGUCCAAGCUGCUAGCAGAACAUUUCUUAAGAGACUGAGAGUGCAGCAUGGGAGCCAGUGCGAAGAGCCCAAGGAGGACGGUAAUCGGAGGAACAUCAGGCGGUGCCUGGAAGGGGAGAGAGAAAUCGACAUGCGAGCCAAGCAACGCGGCAGGUGUGCUGCGAGACAGUGUAGAUGGGGGGGUUUGCCAGUGCGCCUCUGUGCUGGUGUGCGGGGGCUUCAAAUCAAGUCGCCUGAAAAGACAUGCAAGGAUUAGUUACAUCUGCUGGGAAAUGAGUAAGAGGCAUCUUAACACAGAAAUAUACUGUCACAUCACGGCUGAGGAUUAGACAGAAUUCAUCUGGAAGCAGACUUGACUCAAUAAGAUUCAGCUCCUUAUAGUCUUAUGUGUGUUAUGUGUGUUACUGAUUGCGUUCUUCAUCUUAAUCAUGAAAAUUAGGAUUUUGCUGACAUGUGCACAUUUUACUUGGCGUUUAAAGACUAUAUAAACAUUUUGAAUAUAAUUAUUGACAUACAGGUUUGCCACGCAAUCCGAAGGUAGAGUUUUCCUAUGUGACAUUUUGUAAACUGAAAUGGCGUAAAGUGUCAGUUAACAAUUACCAUCAAUAAUGCAUUACAGUGUAGAUUCACUUACCAGGAUCAAUGUAGUGAUGCGUCGCUUAACAACAGGGCUGCAUUCUGAGAAAUGCAUUGUUUGCCAAUUUUGCCAUUGUUUGUACACAUACACACACACAAAUACUAUUUAAAAAACAGAAAGGUCAUUUUGGAGUUUAUACAUAAAAUCCUGAAAGAGCUUGAUGUACCAGUCCACCAGAGCUAUGGAAUUCUGGGUAUUGUAAAUGUUCUAGUUGUUCUCACUGAUUUCACUCUGCUCUCCAUCAUGUGCAGAGGUUCUCCAGCACGCAUUAGUACCCGUGCCUUUGCUAACCAUAGGUUCUCCAGCACGCAUUAGUACCACGUACCUUUGCUAACCAUGGGUUCUCCAGCACCCAUUAGUACCCGUGCCUUUGCUAACCACAGGUUCUCCAGCACGCAUUAGUACCCGUGCCUUUGCUAACCAUAGGUUCUCCAGCACGCAUUAGUAUCCGUGCCUUUGCUAACCACAGGUUCUCCAGCACACAUUAGUACCCGUGCCUUUGCUAACCAUAGGUUCUCCAGCACGCAUUAGUAUCCGUGCCUUUGCUAACCACAGGUUCUCCAGCACACAUUAGUACCCGUGCCUUUGCUAACCAUAGGUUCUCCAGCACGCAUUAGUACCCGUGCCUUUGCUAACCAUAGGUUCUCCAGCACGCAUUAGUACCCGUGCCUUUGCUAACCAUAGGUUCUCCAGCACGCAUUAGUAUCCAUGCCUUUGCUAACCAUAGGUUCUCCAGCACACAUUAAUACCCGUGCCUUUGCUAACCAUAGGUUCUCCAGCACACAUUAGUACCCGUGCCUUUGCUAACCAUAGGUUCUCCAGCACACAUUAGUACCCGUGCCUUUGCUAACCACAGGUUCUCCAGCACGCAUUAGUACCACGUACCUUUGCUAACCAUAGGUUCUCCAGCACGCAUUAGUACCCGUGCCUUUGCUAACCAUAGGUUCUCCAGCACACAUU